This 467-nucleotide ribosomal RNA is filed under the name uncultured bacterium. RNAcentral's name for it is "partial 16S ribosomal RNA". It matches the Rfam family "Bacterial small subunit ribosomal RNA", at positions 330 to 794 of the family's 1533-position model. The record is from RNAcentral.
CCCAGACUCCUACGGGAGGCAGCAGUGAGGAAUAUUGGUCAAUGGGCGGGAGCCUGAACCAGCCAAGUCGCGUGAGGGAAGACGGUCCUAUGGAUUGUAAACCUCUUUAGGCGGGGAGCAAUGCCGGGCACGCGUGCCCGGAGGGAGAGUACCCGCAGAAUAAGCAUCGGCUAACUCCGUGCCAGCAGCCGCGGUAAUACGGAGGAUGCGAGCGUUAUCCGGAUUUAUUGGGUUUAAAGGGUGCGCAGGCGGCGUGUCAAGUCAGCGGUAAAAUGUCGGGGCUCAACCCCGGCCGGCCGUUGAAACUGAUGUUCUUGAGUGGGCGAGAAGUAUGCGGAAUGCGUGGUGUAGCGGUGAAAUGCAUAGAUAUCACGCAGAACUCCGAUUGCGAAGGCAGCAUACCGGCGCCCAACUGACGCUGAAGCACGAAAGCGUGGGUAUCGAACAGGAUUAGAUACCCGAGUAGC